AUUGAACGCUGGCGGCAUGCCUUACACAUGCAAGUCGAACGGUAACAGGUUAAGCUGACGAGUGGCGAACGGGUGAGUAAUGCAUCGGAACGUGCCCGGUCGUGGGGGAUAACGCAGCGAAAGCUGCGCUAAUACCGCAUACGAUCUGAGGAUGAAAGCGGGGGACCGUAAGGCCUCGCGCGAUCGGAGCGGCCGAUGUCAGAUUAGGUAGUUGGUGGGGUAAAGGCUCACCAAGCCGACGAUCUGUAGCUGGUCUGAGAGGACGACCAGCCCCACUGGGACUGAGACACGGCCCAGACUCCUACGGGAGGCAGCAGUGGGGAAUUUUGGACAAUGGGCGCAAGCCUGAUCCAGCAAUGCCGCGUGCAGGAAGAAGGCCUUCGGGUUGUAAACUGCUUUUGUACGGAGCGAAAAGGCUCUCUCUAAUACAGAGGGCUCAUGACGGUACCGUAAGAAUAAGCACCGGCUAACUACGUGCCAGCCGCCGCCGUAA
RNAcentral lists this ribosomal RNA (493 nucleotides) under uncultured bacterium. Its description in RNAcentral is "partial 16S ribosomal RNA". It matches the Rfam family "Bacterial small subunit ribosomal RNA", at positions 29 to 523 of the family's 1533-position model. The record is from RNAcentral.